AACGAACGCUGGCGGCAUGCCUAACACAUGCAAGUCGAACGAAGUCUUCGGACUUAGUGGCGCACGGGUGCGUAACGCGUGGGAAUCUGCCCUUGGGUACGGAAUAACUCAGAGAAAUUUGUGCUAAUACCGUAUAAUGUCUUCGGACCAAAGAUUUAUCGCCCAAGGAUGAGCCCGCGUAAGAUUAGCUAGUUGGUGGGGUAAAAGCCUACCAAGGCGACGAUCUUUAGCUGGUCUGAGAGGAUGAUCAGCCACACUGGGACUGAGACACGGCCCAGACGACUGCGGGAUGCAGCAGUGGGGGAUGGUGGACAAGGGGCGAAGGGCUGAAAAAGUACUGUCGCGUGAGUGAUUAAGGCCGUAGGGGGGGAAAGCUCUUUUGCCAGGGCCGAUAAUGACGGGGCCUGGAGAAUAAGCAACGGCAAACUCUGUA
Molecule: ribosomal RNA, 433 nt
Filed under: uncultured bacterium
Lineage: Bacteria
Description: partial 16S ribosomal RNA
Rfam family: Bacterial small subunit ribosomal RNA
Source: RNAcentral